This 57-nucleotide antisense RNA is filed under the name Olea europaea subsp. europaea. It matches the Rfam family "Antisense RNA which regulates isiA expression", at positions 131 to 187 of the family's 187-position model. Lineage: Eukaryota; Viridiplantae; Streptophyta; Magnoliopsida; Lamiales; Oleaceae. The record is from RNAcentral.
ACCUAAUAAGAUUAAUUGAAUAACUAAAAUUGUGGUCAUUUUAUUUCUAUCUUUCCA